GACGGAGGAUGCAAGCGUUAUCCGGAAUGAUUGGGCGUAAAGCGUCCGCAGGUGGCAGUUCAAGUCUGCUGUCAAAGACCGGGGCUUAACUUCGGAAAGGCAGUGGAAACUGAACAGCUAGAGUAUGGUAGGGGCAGAGGGAAUUCCUGGUGUAGCGGUGAAAUGCGUAGAGAUCAGGAAGAACAUCGGUGGCGAAGGCGCUCUGCUGGACCAUAACUGACACUCAGGGACGAAAGCUAGGGGGGCGAAUGGG
This 253-nucleotide ribosomal RNA is filed under the name uncultured bacterium. RNAcentral describes it as "partial 16S ribosomal RNA". It matches the Rfam family "Bacterial small subunit ribosomal RNA", at positions 524 to 776 of the family's 1533-position model. The record is from RNAcentral.